Chelonoidis abingdonii (Abingdon island giant tortoise) is the source of this 623-nucleotide non-coding RNA. Lineage: Eukaryota; Metazoa; Chordata; Testudines; Testudinidae. The record is from RefSeq and is a predicted model, not a curated record.
ACAGCACUUCUGAAAGGUUGCUGACCCCUGGGUUACAUUAUAAUGGUGCUUUUUGAUUGUCAGCGUAACUUUUGUCAACAAAAGUUGGCAGUGUAGACAAGGCCUAUUUCAAGGCGGGUGGAUUUUUUGUUUUGAUUUUGAUUUUCUAUUUUGAGCUGUAAUCUGUAUCCAGGAGAUAAUUCAGAAGGUGCUGAAACUAUAUUUGAAAAGAAAACAUAGCAAACACUCGCUGGGAGGGGUGAUGGGGAUGGAAGAGGAGAUGGGAAAAGGGGUUGGGUCUGCAGCAAGGCAUGUGGGUAUUAUGGGGAUGGGGAUAAAUGGGAAUGGGUGGAAGGGGAGGAAAAAAGGGUUGGGGCCUCCUCAGGUAAGGGGAAGGAGUGGGGUGGGAGGUAUUUGAUAUGGUGAGUGUUGGCAGUAAAAGUUAUGGAUUUAGGGACAGGGAGUCCUGUCGGCCCCAUAUUCCCCCUUUUCCCAUUCUGGGAUCUGGGGGAGGGAUUUGAAUUCCUUUUUCUUCCCACUGUAUGUCCUGUGAUCUGGGAGACCCUGCUGCUCUUGGGAUGUCUAACCCCUCGUAUGAUUUGUGAUCAAGGGGGAGGACCAUGGGCAGCAAUGUGAGGAAAAUG